CAGGCCUUGACAUGCACUAGACCGACUCUGAAAGGAGUCUUCCCUUCGGGGCUGGUGCACAGGUGCUGCAUGGCUGUCGUCAGCUCGUGUCGUGAGAUGUUGCGUUAAGUCGCGCAACGAGCGCAACCCCUGUCCUUAGUUGCCAUCAGGUAAAGCUGGGCACUCUAGGGAGACAAACCCUCUUUGAGGGUGGGAAGGUGGGGAUGACGUCAAGUCAGGAUGGCCCUUACGGCCUGGGCUGCACACGUGCUACAAUGCUCGGUGCAGAGGGACGCAAGACCGCGAGGUGGAGCAAAUCCCAAAAACCGAGCCCAGUUCAGAUUGCAGUCUGCAACUCGACUGCAUGAAGCCGGAAUCGCUAGUAAUGGCGUAUCAGCUACGACGCCGUGAAUA
This 393-nucleotide ribosomal RNA is filed under the name uncultured Verrucomicrobiota bacterium. Its description in RNAcentral is "bacterial SSU rRNA". It matches the Rfam family "Bacterial small subunit ribosomal RNA", at positions 975 to 1368 of the family's 1533-position model. Lineage: Bacteria; Pseudomonadati; Verrucomicrobiota. The record is from RNAcentral.